Molecule: ribosomal RNA, 253 nt
Filed under: uncultured bacterium
Lineage: Bacteria
Description: partial 16S ribosomal RNA
Rfam family: Bacterial small subunit ribosomal RNA
Source: RNAcentral
UACGAAGGGGGCGAGCGUUGUUCGGAUUUACUGGGCGUAAAGGGCGCGCAGGCGGCUCGUUUUGUCAGGCGUGAAAGCCCCGGGCUCAACCUGGGAGGUGCGCUUGAUACUCGAGGGCUUGAGUGCGGGAGAGGAGAGUGGAAUUCCCAGUGUAGAGGUGAAAUUCGUAGAUAUUGGGAAGAACACCGGUGGCGAAGGCGGCUCUCUGGACCGUAACUGACGCUGAGGCGCGAAAGCGUGGGGAGCAAACAGG